GAUGGACGCUGGCGGCGUGCCUAAUACAUGCAAGUCGAGCGAACAGACGAGAGUGCUUGCACUCUCUGACGUUAGCGGCGGACGGGUGAGUAACACGUGGGUAACCUACCUAUAAGACUGGGAUAACUUCGGGAAACCGGAGCUAAUACCGGAUAAUAUUUAGCUUCGCAUGAAGCAAUAGUGAAAGACGGUUCUGCUGUCACUUAUAGAUGGACCCGCGGUGUAUUAGCUAGUUGGUGAGGUAACGGCUCACCAAGGCAACGAUACAUAGCCGACCUGAGAGGGUGAUCGGCCACACUGGGACUGAGACACGGCCCAGACUCCUACGGGAGGCAGCAGUAGGGAAUCUUCCGCAAUGGACGAAAGUCUGACGGAGCAAUGCCGCGUGAGUGAAGAAGGUUUUCGGAUCGUAAAACUCUGUUGUAAGGGAAGAACAAGUACGUUAGUAACUGAACGUACCUUGACGGUACCUUACCAGAAAGCCACGGCUAACUACGUG
Molecule: ribosomal RNA, 499 nt
Filed under: uncultured bacterium
Lineage: Bacteria
Description: partial 16S ribosomal RNA
Rfam family: Bacterial small subunit ribosomal RNA
Source: RNAcentral